UACGUAGGGCGCAAGCGUUAUCCGGAAUUAUUGGGCGUAAAGAGCUCGUAGGCGGUUUGUCGCGUCUGCUGUGAAAACCCGAGGCUCAACCUCGGGCCUGCAGUGGGUACGGGCAGACUAGAGUGCGGUAGGGGAGAUUGGAAUUCCUGGUGUAGCGGUGGAAUGCGCAGAUAUCAGGAGGAACACCGAUGGCGAAGGCAGAUCUCUGGGCCGUAACUGACGCUGAGGAGCGAAAGCGUGGGGAGCGAACAGG
RNAcentral lists this ribosomal RNA (253 nucleotides) under uncultured bacterium. RNAcentral describes it as "partial 16S ribosomal RNA". It matches the Rfam family "Bacterial small subunit ribosomal RNA", at positions 524 to 776 of the family's 1533-position model. The record is from RNAcentral.